GAAAACCCUGAUUGGCUUGCCUGUCUUUUUAGCUAAGUAUUAUUUAUUUCUAUUAAAGGAAGGCCAAUUCUAGGCUGAGCUUUGCUAACCUGGUUGCUGUGAAAAAAUAAUAGUACUGUAUACUGCUUUUGUACAGUUGUACUGAACACUUUCUUUAAGAGCAUGUAACCAAUUACAUGUCAAUAUAAAUUAGGGAGUUUUUUUUUUUAAGAGUUGUUUUUAUUUCUGCUGAUUCUUUUGAAAUCAGUUUCACCUACAUAAAUUUCAUAUUAAAUUAAGAUCACAUUCCCAGAUUCAAUUUGAAUGUGAAAGUUACUUAAUUUGAUUCAGUGAAUAUUCUAGUAUUUCCUAACAUGACCUACUAAAUAAUUCUCAAGUUAUGGUUAUUAAAUAUCAACAAUAUUAGUUUAUGAAGGGGGGUAUGUCUUAAUCCUUUCAUUGCAGCUUUCAAAACGUAUUUGCCUUUCCUAGGUUCAGUAUUUCUGGAGAAACAUUAAAGAAAAAUUCACUUUUUAUCUUACUUUAUUCUCCAUCUUAGUUUCAUUUUUAAAUCAUUGUCAAACAUUUUGGCUUAGGUGUGAAAACUUUAGAACAAAAACAAGUUUAGAGCUUUUGCACAGGUAUCAGUUUUUAAUUUAAAAAUCAUCUUUAUAUUAUAAAAGUAUUACCAACAUUUAUCUUUUAAGAUGUAUUUCCGUAUGCACUGUGUAUGUUUGUGCUGUAGGUCAAUCUGAACAGCUGUAUUCAACCACAACUUUCUUUUCUUUUUUCAACAUUUCAUAAUCUUCUGUUCCCUCAAGAAGGUUGAGAAAUUCUGGAAGGAAAAACUCUUAGUGGCAUGUUUAUACUACUUUUAUAUUGUAUAAAGAAAUUAACUUCUCACUAGCCAAGUACUGGACUGCAGUCAGUACUGAAGUAUAUAGGAGAGAGAGGGGAACUACUGUUAAAGAAUGACAGGGCUUUGACCAAGAGUAAAACUAAGAAGAGGAAAAAUGCGAUGCAAGAGUGCCCCAAUGAUAGAAAUCCAAAUGGGUGGUUUGGGAGUAUAAAGCAACUUAAGAGUGAGGCUUUCUGAGAAAAGACUGUGUUAAAAAGUGUGAAACUGUAAAGCCAUCAAGCCCUAAACUAAUCAAUUUGUUGUUUCUUCUCUAAAGGAAGAAUAGUAAUGAAAGGGACUUGGUCAGCUUGAUGUCUUAAUUAGAGAGAGCUAGACUAGCUUAGAGUUUAGCACUUAGCACUGUCUUGGAAGGAGCAAACCUAUGUUAAUUAACCACCUCUCAGCUGUACUUAGACCAUUGACUUUCCUUUGUUUGAUGUUUUGCUACUGAGUUAUUAGUCCCUGAAAAUUAAUAUCGUCUACUGUAAAUUAACAGACAUAAUUUUAGUUCAAGGGGGAAAGAAGUGGGGUGGACUGGGAGUUUGGGGUUAGUAAAUGCAAACUAUUACAUUUAAAAUAGAUAAACAAUAAGGUCCUACUGCAUAGCACAGGGAGCUAUAUCCGAUCUUCUGGUUCAGACCAUGAUGGAAAAUAAUAUUUAAAAAAAGAAUGUAUGUAUGUAUGUGCGUAUGUAUAUACUGACUAAGUCACUUUCCUGUACAGUUGAAAUUGGCACAAAUCAACCAUACUUUAGUAAAAAAUAAAAAAAUAAUUUUAGUUCAAAAAUCUUUUUUUAGGAGAGAUGGUGUAGUGUAAUGACGAAGAGUGUAAGUGUCACGGAGUGUGACAGAGUGGGGUUUGAAGCUUGGCUCCACUAUUAAAGAGCUGACUACUUUUAACCAAGUUUUGAAUCUCCUGGUACUUCAGCUUGCUCAUCUGCAAAAUGUGAUUUAAUAAUAGUACCUUGUCUCAGAUGUUAGUAUUGGAUGAGUUAAACCAAGUAUGUAACAUUGCAUACUGUCUAGCACACACAGAGUGUUCAAUAAAUGUUAGCUGUUAGUAAUAGGAGGAGAAGGAGCAGCAGCAGUUUGAUUAACCUUUGCAGUUGCUAAAAAUUUGAUAUGAGUUGGGCACUUGACAAAAUUAAAGUUUCUGCAAAGCUGAGGACUAGACUCUGGAACAUGGUUGUGAUCAGCUUUGGACAUGCCUGAGAUAUCUUUGUCUCUUUACUCAGUGAUUUCAGUAUGGGAAAUUGCCACUUUUCUUUUUUGACCCAAUCCACAUAGAGGAAAAUAUUCUGGCACAUGUAACAUGCAAAUACUUAGAAAUUGUCUUCAUGAAAAGUAAAUUUCCACGAACCCCAAAAUCAAAUUCUGAAACUUUCUUAAGGGUUCUAUGCAAAAGUAUUUGCCUAUAGACCAACUAGUAUUCAUGAGGAUGCAGGUUGGAUCCUUGGCCCCUCUCAGUGGAUUAAGGAUGGGGCUCAGAUCUGGCGUUGCUGCAGAUGUGGUGUAGGCCAGCAGCUACAGCUCUGAUUCAACCCCAAGCCUGGGAACUGUCAUGUGCCUCCCCUAUG
This 2453-nucleotide long non-coding RNA is filed under the name Sus scrofa (pig). RNAcentral describes it as "lncRNA (ENSSSCG00025067140.1, ENSSSCG00035050656.1, ENSSSCG00055000129.1, ENSSSCG00065034443.1)". Lineage: Eukaryota; Metazoa; Chordata; Mammalia; Artiodactyla; Suidae. The record is from RNAcentral.